RNAcentral lists this ribosomal RNA (468 nucleotides) under uncultured bacterium. RNAcentral's name for it is "partial 16S ribosomal RNA". It matches the Rfam family "Bacterial small subunit ribosomal RNA", at positions 28 to 507 of the family's 1533-position model. The record is from RNAcentral.
GACGAACGCUGGCGGCGUGCUUAACACAUGCAAGUCGAACGGAAAGGCCCUGCUUUUGUGGGGUGCUCGAGUGGCGAACGGGUGAGUAACACGUGAGUAACCUGCCCUUGACUUUGGGAUAACUUCAGGAAACUGGGGCUAAUACCGGAUAGGAGCUCCUGCUGCAUGGUGGGGGUUGGAAAGUUUCGGCGGUUGGGGAUGGACUCGCGGCUUAUUAGCUUGUUGGUGGGGUAGUGGCAUACCAAGGCUUUGACGGGUAGCCGGCCUGCGCGGGUGACGGGCCACAUUGGCACUGAGAUACGGCCCAGACUCCUACGGGAGGCAGCAGUGGGGAAUAGUACAAAAUGGGCGGAAGCCUGAUGCAGCAACGCCGCGUGCGGGAUGACGGCCUUCGGGUUGGAAACCGCUUGCGCCUGUGACGAAGAGUGAGUGACGGUAAUGGGUAAAGAAGCACCGGCUAACUACGUG